Corticium candelabrum is the source of this 2251-nucleotide long non-coding RNA. RefSeq lists it as uncharacterized. The transcript has 3 exons. NCBI's taxonomy places the organism in Eukaryota, Metazoa, Porifera, Homoscleromorpha, Homosclerophorida, Plakinidae. The record is from RefSeq and is a predicted model, not a curated record.
UCGUGAAGAGCAACUUCUACUUAUUGUUUUCUUGCGUUGCAAUGGACUUACGGCUGCUAGUUACUAUACAGUAGACUCGGGAAGUUACUCGCAUGCAUAUCUCUGAAUACCCAAGGGCGGGGCAACUCCGAUCACUCCUCUGCGCGUCAUUUCUGCUGCUGCAAGCUGCAUUUGGAGCAUGUCCAAGGGUCCUCGUCUUCUGGAAGCUCUGAAAGCCCAGCACAAUCGUAGUGAUACCACCGCCAACAGUGUUCACAACCCACCCAAUCUUCUUGCCUCUCAUUGCUGUCGUUGUCGAACAAUCCUCCGCAUCCCUGGCACUUGUUUUCAUCUCUUUCUUCUGUUACUGCAGUUUUUCGUUUGCCUUGGCGUGCAGAGUACGCCUCAUGACUUGUUAUGACUUCUCCAUAGUAUGCCAAGUCUACACGAGCAGAUGGCUUUGGCUGUGGUGGUGGAAUAGGCGUUCUUGUUUUCUGGAACAACUUGGAGAAGUGGUGUCUAAGCUGAAGUUUGAUUGCAGGAGUGGUAGCUGCUGUCGGAGAACGAGGGCUCUUGCAUGGUGUUCGUGUAGUAACGGCAUCUGCUGGACUAAUUUUUGCUUGAGGAAUGGCUGCAGCUGAUGGCUUUGGAUAUAAACCAGCUCCUCGAAAUGCACCUUGAAAUUGGUGUGGUUUCAUGGAUGUGUCUGUCAGCUGUUUUAGUAAUUUGGGAAAAAUUGUUUUACGGACACCUUGUCCCCUUGUUCUUCGUUUGUAGUCGAUCAGAAUUUUCUGCCAAUUUUUCUUCAUGGGAGCAAACACGCCUACAUCCAGAGGUUGUAAUGCGUGCGUGGUAUUUGGAGGCAGGGUUACGAGAAUGAUGUUGUAUUUUCUUGCCACAUUGAUGACAUCCAAGUUGAUGUGUGAAUAGUGUCCAUCGAAAAACAAGAUCACGCUGGGGCUAGUAUCAUCUGUGAAGUCUGAGUCAUCACUACUGUCACUGACAAGACUUGGUUCUGUUGUCGUCAGUGUAGUAGAUGGCUCUUCAUUUUCUGCAAUCAGUUUCAUCUUCUUGAGCACUGGUAUGAAGCCUUUUACAAACCAGCUGUAAAAGUUUUGUUUUUCCAUCCACCCGCUGGCUGAUACUCCAUACAUUGCUUCAGUAGGGCCACUAAGGGUCCAGGUAUGAUACAAGUGCUGAGCUUUAUAUAGAAUAUAGGGAGGGAUUUUGUCUCCAUUGGUAUUUCCACCCCAAUGGACAGUAAUGUAUUCACGUCCACUCCCUGCCAUGGUCUCAUAUACAGACUUAGCUCCUCUCCUAGCUAGGACCAUUCUAGAUGAGGAGGCUGUAGCAAAAGCGGUUUCAUCACAGUUCCAAAUUCUUUUGGACAGCUCUUUCUUACUCAGUUUAAACAACCCAGCCUUCCUGUAGAUCUUCUCGACAAAUUUCAUCCAACCCUCAAUUCUCUCUUUGGUCAAUGCCUUAGCACGUUUCUUUGACAGAUGUUGUGGUUUCCUUUGACUCAGUGCACUCUUCCGUCGCUUAAAGAAGCCAACAAACCAGUCAGGACCAGGUAAAUCAUCAGGAAAAGGAUUUUCUCUAGCAUUUGCUCUAAGGUAAUCUGAGAUGACGUUGCUGAGACUUGAUCUAUCAAGGGGAAACCCCAUCUCUUGCAGCACAAUGCAACAUUGCACUAUUUCUCUCUCUUCCUGGUAAGUCAAGACUGUUGGCCGUCCACCGUAUUGCGUUUUACUGACUCCCUUGUGAUGAUCGCGAAGGGUUGAGUAGGGAAUGCCGUACACAGCUGCCGUCUUCCUUAUGCUGUCCUGGUUUUCAGCAAGAUCUUGCAGUGCCUUUCUCAGGGCUUCGUCAGAGAACUUGUUCUUAAUUCCUUUAGGUUGAUAAUGUCGUACCAUUAUUGCAAAGUAAACGAAUAAAGCAGAUCAGAACGCAAGCGAAGUAAGUCUACGACUGUGACAAUGUGAUCGAAUUUUGGACUCUAAAGGAAGGGCAACGGUGCGUUUUGUCUGCAUCAACGUAUUUAGUGGUAGAGUGGGUUGCACAAAAUAGCAUUUAGUCUUUUGGAUUGUCUCUAACAAGAAAGUUUUUGGACCGCAAGUUCCGCUACCUAGGUCGUUCUCACAACAAACAAGCCGUUUGAGACACAACGGCAAGGACUUAGUGGUUAUGUCACUGCCUGCUAAAACCACGAAGGGUCGUCUACUUACGUGCUGUAAUGGGAAAGGCGUACGGUUUUCUCAUCAACAACGCU